AGCGAACGCUGGCGGCAGGCUUAACACAUGCAAGUCGAACGGGCAUAGCAAUAUGUCAGUGGCAGACGGGUGAGUAACGCGUGGGAACGUACCUUUUGGUCCGGAACAACACAGGGAAACUUGUGCUAAUACCGGAUAAGCCCUUACGGGGAAAGAUUUAUCGCCGAAAGAUCGGCCCGCGUCUGAUUAGCUAGUUGGUAGGGUAAUGGCCUACCAAGGCGACGAUCAGUAGCUGGUCUGAGAGGAUGAUCAGCCACAUUGGGACUGAGACACGGCCCAAACUCCUACGGGAGGCAGCAGUGGGGAAUAUUGGACAAUGGGCGAAAGCCUGAUCCAGCCAUGCCGCGUGAGUGAUGAAGGCCCUAGGGUUGUAAAGCUCUUUUGUGCGGGAAGAUAAUGACGGUACCGCAAGAAUAAGCCCCGGCUAACUUCGUG
RNAcentral lists this ribosomal RNA (435 nucleotides) under uncultured bacterium. Its description in RNAcentral is "partial 16S ribosomal RNA". It matches the Rfam family "Bacterial small subunit ribosomal RNA", at positions 29 to 507 of the family's 1533-position model. The record is from RNAcentral.